This 643-nucleotide ribosomal RNA is filed under the name Ampulloclitocybe clavipes. Its description in RNAcentral is "eukaryotic LSU rRNA". It matches the Rfam family "Eukaryotic large subunit ribosomal RNA", at positions 1 to 623 of the family's 3401-position model. Lineage: Eukaryota; Fungi; Basidiomycota; Agaricomycetes; Agaricales; Hygrophoraceae. The record is from RNAcentral.
UGACCUCAAAUCAGGUAGGACUACCCGCUGAACUUAAGCAUAUCAAUAAGCGGAGGAAAAGAAACUAACAAGGAUUCCCCUAGUAACUGCGAGUGAACCGGGAAAAGCUCAAAUUUGUAAUCUGGCGGUCCUUGUGGCCGUCCGAGUUGUAAUCUAGAGAAGUGCUAUCCGCGCUGGACCGUGUACAAGUCUUCUGGAAUGAAGCAUCAUAGAGGGUGAGAAUCCCGUCUUUGACACGGACUGCCAGGGCUAUGUGAUGCACUUUCGAUGAGUCGAGUUGUUUGGGAAUGCAGCUCUAAAUGGGUGGUAAAUUCCAUCUAAAGCUAAAUACAGGCGAGAGACCGAUAGCGAACAAGUACCGUGAGGGAAAGAUGAAAAGAACUUUGGAAAGAGAGUUAAACAGUACGUGAAAUUGUUGAAAGGGAAACGCUUGAAGUCAGUCGCGUUGGCCGGGGAUCAACCUUGCAUUCAUUUGUGGGGCGUACUUUCUGGUUGACGGGUCAGCAUCAAUUUUGACCGUUGGAAAAAGGUUGGAGGAAUGUGGCAUCUUCGGAUGUGUUAUAGACUCUGACUGCAUACAACGGUUGGGAUUGAGGAACUCAGCACGCCGCAAGGCCGGGGGAAACCCACGUACGUGCUAGGA